RNAcentral lists this ribosomal RNA (538 nucleotides) under uncultured Ascomycota. Its description in RNAcentral is "eukaryotic LSU rRNA". The stretch from base 158 to 311 matches the Rfam family "5.8S ribosomal RNA". The record is from RNAcentral. Lineage: Eukaryota; Fungi; Ascomycota.
CUUGGUCAUUUAGAGGAAGUAAAAGUCGUAACAAGGUUUCCGUAGGUGAACCUGCGGAAGGAUCAUUAGUAUAUGACCAACGUCAGUUGGCAACCCUUUUUUUUAAACUCCUGUUUUCUCUGAAAUCAGUCUGAACAUGUUUAUUAUUAAACGUUAAAACUUUCAACAACGGAUCUCUUGGUUCUCCCAUCGAUGAAGAACGCAGCGAAAUGCGAUAAGUAGUGUGAAUUGCAGAAUUCAGUGAAUCGUCGAAUCUUUGAACGCACAUUGCGCCCUCUGGUAUUCCGGGGGGCAUGCCUGUUCGAGCGUCAUUAAAACUACUCAAGCUAAGGUUUUACCUUCUGCUUGGUCUUGGGUUUGAGGAUUCAAAACCCUCUCUCCGAAAUCCAGUGGCGAAUUGUUUGAGCUGUAGACGUAGUAAAACUUUCUACCCGUUGCAAGCGAGAAUAUAUUCAGCCAUAACCCCCAUACUUUUCUAGUUUGACCUCGGAUCAGGUAGGGAUACCCGCUGAACUUAAGCAUAUCAAUAAGCGGAGGA